UACUUUAAUAAUAAAACUGUCUACAUCUUAGAUUAUUCAUGCAAACCGUAAUGGUCCCGGCCAGACAUCAGAUAACUCUCCUAACAGGCGUCAGCUCCGAGUGAUACAAGCCCACCGCGUGGACAUCACUCCAGCGGAUCAACGGAGAAAACAACUUGAUAAUAUUGAAGCGCACUGCAGUGGUCCUUCUGUUACUGGAUCAGCAAGCGACGUCUUCGACUUGGACAAUCCCCUGCACCUGUAUGCGCAAGCUAAGCGUUUACAAGCAUUACACGCAAGCAGUCAACGCAGCUCGAAUCGCUCUCCGUACAAACAUGGUGUUUACCAAGAAAAAUCUGAUGAUAAGUCGGAAGACGGAAUCAAAGAGAAAUGUGACGACAGGAAUAAAUCUGUGUGCGCGUUAUGUCG
This 408-nucleotide unclassified non-coding RNA is filed under the name Melitaea cinxia (Glanville fritillary). Its description in RNAcentral is "misc RNA ENSMCXG00005021563.1". The record is from RNAcentral. Lineage: Eukaryota; Metazoa; Arthropoda; Insecta; Lepidoptera; Nymphalidae.